AGAGAUUGAACAUAAGAGUUUGAUCCUGGCUCAGAUUGAACGCUGCGGCAUGCUUUACACAUGCAAGUCGGACGGCAGCACAGAGAAGCUUGCUUCUCGGGUGGCGAGUGGCGAACGGGUGAGUAACAUAUCGGAACGUACCGAGUAGUGGGGAUAACUGAUCGAAAGAUCAGCUAAUACCGCAUACGUCUUGAGAGAGAAAGCAGGGGACUUCGGGCCUUGCGCUAUUCGAGCGGCCGAUAUCUGAUUAGCUAGUUGUGGGUAAAGGCCUACCAAGGCGACGAUCAGUACGGGUCUGAGAGGAUGAUCCGCCACACUGGGACUGAGACACGGCCCAGACUCCUACGGGAGGCAGCAGUGGGGAAUUUUGGACAAUGGCGCAAGCCUGAUCAGCCAUGCCGCGUGUCUGAAGAAGGCCUUCGGGUUGUAAAGGACUUUUGUCAGGGAAGAAAAGGCUGUUGCUAAUAUCAGCGGCUGAUGACGGUACCUGAAGAAUAAGCACCGGCUAACUACGUGCAGCAGCCGCGGUAAUACGUAGGUGCGAGCGUUAAUCGGAAUUACUGGGCGUAAAGCGGGCGCAGACGGUUACUUAAGCAGGAUGUGAAAUCCCCGGGCUCAACCGGGAACUGCGUUCUGAACUGGGUGACUCGAGUGUGUCAGAGGAGGGUAGAAUUCCACGUGUAGCAGUGAAAUGCGUAGAGAUGGUGGAGGAAUACCGAUGCGAAGGCAGCUCCUGGGACAACACUGACGUUCAUGCCGAAAGCGUGGUAGCAAACAGGAUUAGAUACCCUGGUAGUCCACGCCCUAAACGAUGUCAAUUAGCUGUUGGCAACUUGAUUGCUUAGUAGCGUAGCUAACGCGUGAAAUUGACCGCCUGGGGAGUACGGUCGCAAGAUUAAAACUCAAAGGAAUUGACGGGGACCCGCACAAGCGGGUGGGAUGAUGUGGAUUAAUUCGAUGCAACGCGAAGAACCUUACCUGGUCUUGACAUGUACGGAAUCCUCCAGAGACGGAGGAGUGCCUUCGGGAGCCGUAACACAGGUGCUGCAUGGCUGUCGUCAGCUCGUGUCGUGAGAUGUUGGGUUAAGUCCCGCAACGAGCGAACCCUUGUCAUUAGUUGCCAUCAUUCAGUUGGGCACUCUAAUGAGACUGCCGGUGACAAGCCGGAGGAAGGUGGGGAUGACGUCAAGUCCUCAUGGCCUUAUGACCAGGGCUUCAACGUCAUACAAUGGUCGGUACAGAGGGUAGCCAAGCCGCGAGGCGGAGCCAAUCUCACAAAACCGAUCGUAGUCCGGAUUGCACUCUGCAACUCGAGUGCAUGAAGUCGGAAUCGCUAGUAAUCGCAGGUCAGCAUACUGCGGUGAAUACGUUCCCGGGUCUUGUACACACCGCCCGUCACACCAUGGGAGUGGGGGAUACCAGAAGUAGGUAGGGUAACCGCAAGGAGUCCGCUUACCACGGUAUGCUUCAUGACUGGGGUGAAGUCGUAACAAGGUAGCCGUAGGGGAACCUGCGGCUGGAUCACCUCCUUUCUAGAG
This 1538-nucleotide ribosomal RNA is filed under the name Neisseria meningitidis. Its description in RNAcentral is "bacterial SSU rRNA". It matches the Rfam family "Bacterial small subunit ribosomal RNA". Lineage: Bacteria; Pseudomonadati; Pseudomonadota; Betaproteobacteria; Neisseriales; Neisseriaceae. The record is from RNAcentral.